UUUCAAUCGCCGUAAAAGAGUCCACGGACCCGCGAGACCAGAAUCGAGAUUGAAUUCGAUCUCUCUCUCUCUCUCUUUCCAUCUCGAUGGGCGAUCGCGCCGUUCGAUUGCGCGCAAAGCGUUUUGCGUACAUGAAAGGAAAUGGAGCGGAACGGGUCGUGGUUGAGGGCGAUGGUGGUUCUGACGUGCUUGGUUGCCGCGAGCGGGACGAGAGAACUUAGAGUGAGGUCAAAGGCUGAUAAAUCUGUUUACAAUCACACUCUUGCCACGAUAUUGGUGGAGUAUGCAUCUGCCGUUUACAUGUCAGAUUUGACAGAACUUUUUAGCUGGACAUGUCCUAGAUGUGAUGGAAAGACCAAGGGGUUUGAAGUUAUCGAACUGAUAGUUGACGUUCAGCACUGCUUACAGGCAUAUGUUGGGGUCGCCAAGGACCUUAAUGCUGUGGUUAUAGCUGUCAGAGGUACUCAAGAACAUAGCAUACAGAAUUGGGUUGAAGAUCUCUACUGGAAACAGCAUGACAUAAACUACUCUGGCAUGCCUGGUGCCAUGGUUCAUCGUGGAUUUUAUUAUGCUUAUCACAAUACGACAAUUCGACCUGGUAUUUUGGAUGCUGUUAUAAGAGCCAAGGAUCUAUAUGGAGACAUCAACGUCAUGGUGACAGGGCAUUCUAUGGGAGGGGCUAUGGCAUCCUUUUGCGGACUUGAUCUUGUGGUCAAUCAUGAAGCACGGAAUGUUCAGGUUUUAACAUUUGGACAACCUAGUAUUGGCAAUGCAGUGUUUGCGUCUUACUACAGUGACCGCGCGCCAAAUACGACACGUAUUACUAAUGGACAUGAUAUUGUGCCUCUGUACUAUUCUCGGUUCCCACAGAAGACUUACCAUCACUUCCCUAGAGAGGUAUGGCUAUAUAAUAUAGGAUUUGGUAGUCUGGUUUAUCAGGUUGAGAAAGUUUGUGAUAGCUCUGGAGAAGAUCCAUCAUGCAGCAGAUCAGUAACUGGUAACAGCCUUACGGACCAUUUAGUUUACUAUGGUGUGGGAUUAAUGGCUGAGACAUGGGGAUCGUGCAAAAUCGUCAUGGACGCACGAUUAAAGGAAUAUGGAGGUGAAGAUGUCAAAGGAAAUCUUUUUGUUUCCAGGAAUCUUUCUGCUUCUGCAUUGAGGCUGCCUUCAGACUCUGAUGCCAAGAACAACUUCAGUUAAAAUGCUCCUGGGUCAGCACCUUUUUUCUCAAAGAUCAUCAGUGACCUCUGUGAUGACGGUCAUUCCAUUGAUCUGUUGUCCAUAUCCAUCACAAGCAUAAGAGCUCUACUCAAAUUCACUCUGAAUCAAAAUUGGCAGAUGUGUGAACUUUGGAACUGUGAGACUUGCACGGUUGGGCAAUUAAUUGGUUUUACAAGGUGAAACAAAGAGUGCCAAGGGAGACCACUGCUCAAUCUGUGGCCUUACCUUCUGCUAUAGGCACAUUGUCACAAUAGACUUCUUGGCACAAGUACUUCAACUCUUUCCUGGCAGGGGAUUAUGAUCAAGCCAUCUUGGAAAUCGAUGAUGACCUUGUCUUGCAUCAGUUCCACUGGCAACCUUUGCUAAAUCUUAACUUUUAGGAGGUAAACGACUUAUAUCAUCUUGGCUUGGACUUGUAACACUGAUCAGCCUUUGGAACGAGAGUUGUAAGCUUUUACCUUCUUUUUUCCGGUAUACAAGAAUUAACAUCAGUGGAAA
This is an RNA transcript of Syzygium oleosum, 1719 nucleotides long. It is a transcript of the gene named lipase-like, with no coding region annotated. Lineage: Eukaryota; Viridiplantae; Streptophyta; Magnoliopsida; Myrtales; Myrtaceae. The transcript is spliced from 12 exons. The record is from RefSeq and is a predicted model, not a curated record.